UACCUAGCGGCGGACGGGUGAGUAAUGCUUAGGAAUCUGCCUAUUAGUGGGGGACAACAUUCCGAAAGGAAUGCUAAUACCGCAUACGUCCUACGGGAGAAAGCAGGGGACCUUCGGGCCUUGCGCUAAUAGAUGNNNNNNAGUCGGAUUAGCUAGUUGGUGGGGUAAAGGCCUACCAAGGCGACGAUCUGUAGCGGGUCUGAGAGGAUGAUCCGCCACACUGGGACUGAGACACGGCCCAGGCUCCUACGGGAGGCAGCAGUGGGGAAUAUUGGACAAUGGGGGGAACCCUGAUCCAGCCAUGCCGCGUGUGUGAAGAAGGCCUUUUGGUUGUAAAGCACUUUAAGCGAGGAGGAGGCUACUAGUAUUAAUACUACUGGAUAGUGGACGUUACUCGCAGAAUAAGCACCGGCUAACUCUGUGCCAGCAGCCGCGGUAAUACAGAGGGUGCGAGCGUUAAUCGGAUUUACUGGGCGUAAAGCGUGCGUAGGCGGCUGAUUAAGUCGGAUGUGAAAUCCCUGAGCUUAACUUAGGAAUUGCAUUCGAUACUGGUCAGCUAGAGUAUGGGAGAGGAUGGUAGAAUUCCAGGUGUAGCGGUGAAAUGCGUAGAGAUCUGGAGGAAUACCGAUGGCGAAGGCAGCCAUCUGGCCUAAUACUGACGCUGAGGUACGAAAGCAUGGGGAGCAAACAGGAUUAGAUACCCUGGUAGUCCAUGCCGUAAACGAUGUCUACUAGCCGUUGGGGCCUUUGAGGCUUUAGUGGCGCAGCUAACGCGAUAAGUAGACCGCCUGGGGAGUACGGUCGCAAGACUAAAACU
This 817-nucleotide ribosomal RNA is filed under the name uncultured bacterium. RNAcentral's name for it is "bacterial SSU rRNA". It matches the Rfam family "Bacterial small subunit ribosomal RNA", at positions 89 to 901 of the family's 1533-position model. The record is from RNAcentral.